UACGUAGGGGGCAAGCGUUGUCCGGAAUUAUUGGGCGUAAAGAGCGCGUAGGCGGUCCGAUAAGUCGGCUGUGAAAGUCAGGGGCUCAACCCUUGGAAGCCGGCCGAUACUGUCGGACUAGAGUCCGGAAGAGGCGAGUGGAAUUCCCGGUGUAGCGGUGAAAUGCGUAGAUAUCUGGAGGAAUACCGGUGGCGAAGGCGGCAUCCUGGACCGGCAUUGACGCUGAUGAGCGAAAGCUAGGGGAGCAAACGGG
Molecule: ribosomal RNA, 253 nt
Filed under: uncultured bacterium
Lineage: Bacteria
Description: partial 16S ribosomal RNA
Rfam family: Bacterial small subunit ribosomal RNA
Source: RNAcentral